GCCUCAGUGGCUCAGUCGGUAGAGCGUGUCCUUGGUAAGGACAAGGUCGAGGGUUCGAUUCCCUCCUGAGGCUC
RNAcentral lists this transfer RNA (74 nucleotides) under Euryarchaeota archaeon ADurb.BinA087. Its description in RNAcentral is "tRNA-Thr". It matches the Rfam family "tRNA". From Rfam's summary of the family: Transfer RNA (tRNA) molecules are approximately 80 nucleotides in length. Their secondary structure includes four short double-helical elements and three loops (D, anti-codon, and T loops). Further hydrogen bonds mediate the characteristic L-shaped molecular structure. tRNAs have two regions of fundamental functional importance: the anti-codon, which is responsible for specific mRNA codon recognition, and the 3' end, to which the tRNAs corresponding amino acid is attached (by aminoacyl-tRNA synthetases). tRNAs cope with the degeneracy of the genetic code in two manners: having more than one tRNA (with a specific anti-codon) for a particular amino acid; and 'wobble' base-pairing, i.e. permitting non-standard base-pairing at the 3rd anti-codon position. Lineage: Archaea; Methanobacteriati; Methanobacteriota. The record is from RNAcentral.